This is a small nuclear RNA of 99 nucleotides. Its record names the gene U2. It matches the Rfam family "U2 spliceosomal RNA". Rfam says of the family: U2 is a small nuclear RNA (snRNA) component of the spliceosome (involved in pre-mRNA splicing). Complementary binding between U2 snRNA (in an area lying towards the 5' end but 3' to hairpin I) and the branchpoint sequence (BPS) of the intron results the bulging out of an unpaired adenosine, on the BPS, which initiates a nucleophilic attack at the intronic 5' splice site, thus starting the first of two transesterification reactions that mediate splicing. The record is from Ensembl.
GUCACUUCUCGGCCUUUUGACUAAGAUCAAGUGUAGUAUCUGUUCUUAUCAGUUUACAGAUAAAGAACACAAACCAGGACAAAUACAUAAAUACCCUAC